This 408-nucleotide ribosomal RNA is filed under the name uncultured bacterium. Its description in RNAcentral is "bacterial SSU rRNA". It matches the Rfam family "Bacterial small subunit ribosomal RNA", at positions 976 to 1381 of the family's 1533-position model. The record is from RNAcentral.
CGACCUUGACAUCCCAGGAAUCUUUCAGAGAUGAGAGAGUGCUACUUCGGUAGAGCCUGGUGACAGGUGCUGCACGGCUGUCGUCAGCUCGUGUCGUGAGAUGUUGGGUUAAGUCCCGCAACGAGCGCAACCCUCGUGAUUAGUUGCUAACGCUUCGGGCGAGCACUCUAAUCAGACUGCCUUCGCAAGGAGGAGGAAGGUGAGGACGACGUCAAGUCAUCAUGGCCCUUACGGCCGGGGCGACACACGUGCUACAAUGGGCAGGACAGUGAGAGGCGAUACCGCGAGGUGGAGCAAAUCUACAAACCUGCUCUCAGUUCGGAUUGCAGUCUGCAACUCGACUGCAUGAAGCUGGAAUCACUAGUAGUCGCGAAUCAGCCAUGUCGCGGUGAAUACGUUCCCGGGUCU